This 277-nucleotide unclassified non-coding RNA is filed under the name sea anemone metagenome. RNAcentral's name for it is "partial contains small subunit ribosomal RNA and internal transcribed spacer 1". The stretch from base 1 to 156 matches the Rfam family "Eukaryotic small subunit ribosomal RNA", at positions 1678 to 1831 of the family's 1831-position model. The record is from RNAcentral.
GCUACUACCGAUUGAAUGGUUUAGCGAGAUGCUCGGAUCGGGCCCAGCUCGUGCGAAAGCAUGUGCCGGGACUGAGAAGAAGUUCAAGCUUGAUCAUUUAGAGGAAGUAAAAGUCGUAACAAGGUUUUCGUAGGUGAACAUGCAGAAGGAUCAAGAUCGGAAGAUCACCCUUCUGAACUCCUUUCACUUGGCCUUUUCUCGUUUGCCUUCUUCUGCUUGAUAAUAAAUCUCUCCUUUUUUUUCUUUUUCUCUUCUCCUUUCUUUCUUCUUUUUCUUU